Molecule: ribosomal RNA, 460 nt
Filed under: uncultured bacterium
Lineage: Bacteria
Description: partial 16S ribosomal RNA
Rfam family: Bacterial small subunit ribosomal RNA
Source: RNAcentral
CCUACGGGUGGCAGCAGUGAGGAAUAUUGGUCAAUGGGCGCGAGCCUGAACCAGCCAAGUAGCGUGAAGGAUGACUGCCCUACGGGUUGUAAACUUCUUUUAUAAGGGAAUAAAGUGAGGCACUUGUGCCCGCUUGUAUGUACUUUAUGAAUAAGGAUCGGCUAACUCCGUGCCAGCAGCCGCGGUAAUACGGAGGAUCCGAGCGUUAUCCGGAUUUAUUGGGUUUAAAGGGUGCGUAGAUGGGGUGUUAAGUCAGUUGUGAAAGUUGGCGGCUCAACCGGAAAAUUGCAAUUGAUACUGGCAGCCUGGAGUACAGUUGAGGUAGGCGGAAUUCGUGGUGUAGCGGUGAAAUGCUUAGAGAUCACGAAGAACUCCGAUUGCGAAGGCAGCUUACGAAACUGCCACUGACAUUGAUGCUCGAAAGUGUGGGUAUCAAACAGGAUUAGAUACCCCUGUAGUC